AUUUCUUUAGUAUAGUAGUACUAAUGCCUUCCAAGCAUUAAGCCCCACCCGGGAAGGAAUA
Molecule: transfer RNA, 61 nt
Filed under: Bungarus fasciatus (banded krait)
Lineage: Eukaryota; Metazoa; Chordata; Lepidosauria; Squamata; Elapidae
Description: tRNA-Gly
Source: RNAcentral